AAGAAGGUUUCCGUAGGUGAACCUGCGGAAGGAUCAUUAACACUAUCCAAACGUUAAAACAUCCCUGUGAACCUUCAGCGUGUCCUUGCAGGACAUCAAAACAGCAAUCCCGAGUAAAUCAGGCGCUAAAGAAUUACAGAUUUUGAUUUUGGGAAGUUCUGUGUGUACGUGGACGCGGUACCCUAGAGCAAUGCUCUGUCUGAAAGCGGCAAGGGAUGAAUGUUCAGGGUGGCGCAGUCAACGAUCGCUGUAGGUCCACACGACCGGCGACCGGGAUGGAGGCGAAAGCCCCCGUCAUCCCUAUGUAAGCUGACUCCGUCAUAAAUCGAACAACUGUUAACAAUGGAUAUCUUGGUUCUC
RNAcentral lists this unclassified non-coding RNA (360 nucleotides) under fungal sp. RNAcentral's name for it is "partial internal transcribed spacer region". Lineage: Eukaryota; Fungi. The record is from RNAcentral.